Molecule: ribosomal RNA, 119 nt
Filed under: Pteropus alecto (black flying fox)
Lineage: Eukaryota; Metazoa; Chordata; Mammalia; Chiroptera; Pteropodidae
Source: RNAcentral
GUCUCCAGCCAUGCUACCCUGAACAAGCCUGAUCCCGUCUGAUCUCGGAAGCUAAGCGGGAUCAGGCCUGGUUAGUACUUGGAUGGGAGACCACCUAGGAAGACCAGGUGCUAUAGUUG